GCGGACGUGGCGAAACUGGUAGACGCAAGGGACUUAAAAUCCCUCGGGUGAUGCCCGUGCGGGUUCGACCCCCGCCGUCCGCACCA
RNAcentral lists this transfer RNA (86 nucleotides) under uncultured Microvirga sp. RNAcentral describes it as "tRNA-Leu-TAA". It matches the Rfam family "tRNA". From Rfam's summary of the family: Transfer RNA (tRNA) molecules are approximately 80 nucleotides in length. Their secondary structure includes four short double-helical elements and three loops (D, anti-codon, and T loops). Lineage: Bacteria; Pseudomonadati; Pseudomonadota; Alphaproteobacteria; Hyphomicrobiales; Methylobacteriaceae. The record is from RNAcentral.